GACAGGUACAGUGGCACGUGCUUGUAGUCAGCUACUCAGGAGGCUGAGGCGGGAGGAUCACUUGAGCCCAGGAGUCCUGGGCUGUAGUGCCCUAUGCUGAUAGGGUGUUCACACUGAGUUCACAUUAAUAUGGUGACCUCCCGGGAGUGAGGGAUCACCAGGCUGCCUAAGGAGGGGUUAACCUGCCCAGGUCAGAAGCAGAACAAGUGAAAACUCCCAUAUUGAUCAGUAGUGGGAUCAUGCCUGUGAAUCACCACUGCACUCCAGCCUGGGCAACAUAGCAAGACCCCAUUUCU
Molecule: signal recognition particle RNA, 296 nt
Filed under: Piliocolobus tephrosceles (Ugandan red Colobus)
Lineage: Eukaryota; Metazoa; Chordata; Mammalia; Primates; Cercopithecidae
Description: Metazoan signal recognition particle RNA (ENSPTEG00000024030.1)
Rfam family: Metazoan signal recognition particle RNA
About the family: The signal recognition particle (SRP) is a universally conserved ribonucleoprotein.
Source: RNAcentral